UUUUCAUGAAAUAUAACAA
Molecule: small nuclear RNA, 19 nt
Filed under: Arabidopsis thaliana (thale cress)
Lineage: Eukaryota; Viridiplantae; Streptophyta; Magnoliopsida; Brassicales; Brassicaceae
Description: snRNA_03686
Source: RNAcentral